GGUUAUUCUCUAAUUUGUUAUUAUUGAAGAACAGCCCGUGCCAGUUCCGAACAGCAAACAUCAGUCUUUUGUUCUCUCAUUUUUUUUGAAACAAGCUGCUGUUCAAAGCUCAAUUCUCAAUUGCAACUCUCAGUUUCAAACCAAAAAUUGAGGAAAAAUAGUGAAUGGUCUCAACACUGUUUUCAGGAAUUACAAAGCUUCGUCUUUCACUGGAAGGAAAGUAAAUGGAAGAAGUUAAUGUGUACCAGUUGCAGGUCUCAAUUUGAGCACCACACCCUGGGACCACUCUCCAAACUCAAAGUCUGGAAGGAAAAGCU
Rhincodon typus (whale shark) is the source of this 317-nucleotide long non-coding RNA. RefSeq lists it as uncharacterized. The transcript is spliced from 3 exons. The record is from RefSeq and is a predicted model, not a curated record. NCBI's taxonomy places the organism in Eukaryota, Metazoa, Chordata, Chondrichthyes, Orectolobiformes, Rhincodontidae.